GUACACUCCUGCGGGAGGCAGCAGUGGGGAAUUUUGGACAAUGGGCGAAAGCCUGAUCCAGCAAUGCCGCGUGAGUGAAGAAGGCCUUCGGGUUGUAAAGCUCUUUUGUCAGGGAAGAAACGGUGAGAGCUAAUAUCUCUUGCUAAUGACGGUACCUGAAGAAUAAGCACCGGCUAACUACGUGCCAGCAGCCGCGGUAAUACGUAGGGUGCAAGCGUUAAUCGGAAUUACUGGGCGUAAAGCGUGCGCAGGCGGUUUUGUAAGUCUGAUGUGAAAUCCCCGGGCUCAACCUGGGAAUUGCAUUGGAGACUGCAAGGCUAGAAUCUGGCAGAGGGGGGUAGAAUUCCACGUGUAGCAGUGAAAUGCGUAGAUAUGUGGAGGAACACCGAUGGCGAAGGCAGCCCCCUGGGUCAAGAUUGACGCUCAUGCACGAAAGCGUGGGGAGCAAACAGGAUUAGAAACCCGGGUAGUCCC
RNAcentral lists this ribosomal RNA (474 nucleotides) under uncultured organism. Its description in RNAcentral is "partial 16S ribosomal RNA". It matches the Rfam family "Bacterial small subunit ribosomal RNA", at positions 331 to 797 of the family's 1533-position model. The record is from RNAcentral.